GACGAACGCUGGCGGCGUGCUUAACACAUGCAAGUCGAACGGAAAGGCCCUGCUUGCAGGGUACUCGAGUGGCGAACGGGUGAGUAACACGUGGGUGAUCUGCCCUGCACUUCGGGAUAAGCCUGGGAAACUGGGUCUAAUACCGGAUAGGAGCCAUUUUUAGUGUGAUGGUUGGAAAGUUUUUUCGGUGUAGGAUGAGCUCGCGGCCUAUCAGCUUGUUGGUGGGGUAAUGGCCUACCAAGGCGGCGACGGGUAGCCGGCCUGAGAGGGUGGACGGCCACAUUGGGACUGAGAUACGGCCCAGACUCCUACGGGAGGCAGCAGUGGGGAAUAUUGCACAAUUGGCGCAAGCCUGAUGCAGCGACGCCGCGUGGGGGAUGACGGCCUUCGGGUUGUAAACUCCUUUCGCUAGGGACGAAGCUUUUUGUGACGGUACCUAGAGAAGAAGCACCGGCUAACUACGUG
This 465-nucleotide ribosomal RNA is filed under the name uncultured bacterium. RNAcentral describes it as "partial 16S ribosomal RNA". It matches the Rfam family "Bacterial small subunit ribosomal RNA", at positions 28 to 507 of the family's 1533-position model. The record is from RNAcentral.